UACGGAGGGGGCGAGCGUUGUCCGAAGUUACUGGGCGUAAAGCGCGCGUAGGCGGGUUGCUAAGUCCGCUGUGAAAGCCCGAGGCUCAACCUCGGAGGGUCGGUGGAUACUGGCAGCCUUGAAGGUGGUAGGGGGAGAUGGAAUUACCGGUGUAGCGGUGAAAUGCGUAGAGAUCGGUAGGAACACCAGUGGCGAAGGCGGUCUCCUGGCCCAGCACUGACACUGAGGCACGAAAGCGUGGGGAGCAAACAGG
This 253-nucleotide ribosomal RNA is filed under the name uncultured bacterium. RNAcentral describes it as "partial 16S ribosomal RNA". It matches the Rfam family "Bacterial small subunit ribosomal RNA", at positions 524 to 776 of the family's 1533-position model. The record is from RNAcentral.